This 785-nucleotide ribosomal RNA is filed under the name marine metagenome. RNAcentral describes it as "bacterial SSU rRNA". It matches the Rfam family "Bacterial small subunit ribosomal RNA", at positions 724 to 1520 of the family's 1533-position model. The record is from RNAcentral.
GCUUUCUGGAUCAUUACUGACACUGAGGAACGAAAGCAUGGGUAGCGAAGAGGAUUAGAUACCCUCGUAGUCCAUGCCGUAAACGAUGUGUGUUAGACGUUGGAAAUUUAUUUUCAGUGUCGCAGCGAAAGCGAUAAACACACCGCCUGGGGAGUACGACCGCAAGGUUAAAACUCAAAUGAAUUGACGGGGACCCGCACAAGUAGUGGAGCAUGUGGUUUAAUUCGAAGAUACGCGCAGAACCUUACCAACACUUGACAUGUUCGUCGCGACUUUAAGAGAUUAAAGUUUUCGGUUCGGCCGGACGAAACACAGGUGCUGCAUGGCUGUCGUCAGCUCGUGUCGUGAGAUGUUGGGUUAAGUCCCGCAACGAGCGCAACCCUCACUUUUAGUUGCCAUCAUUAAGUUGGGCACUCUGAAAGAACUGCCAGUGAUAAGCUGGAGGAAGGUGGGGAUGACGUCAAGUCCUCAUGGCCCUUACGUGUUGGGCUACACACGUGCUACAAUGGUAUUUACAACAGGAAGCAAGACGGCGACGUUAAGCAAAUCCUUAAAAAAUACCUCAGUUCGGAUUGCACUCUGCAACUCGAGUGCAUGAAGCUGGAAUUACUAGUAAUCGUGGAUCAGCGUGCCACGGUGAAUGCGUUCCCGGGUCUUGUACACACCGCCCGUCACACCAUGGGAGUUGGUUCUACCUUAAGGCAAGGUUUUAAACCCUUGACCACGGUAUAGUCAGCGACUGGGGUGAAGUCGUAACAAGGUAGCCGUAGGGGAACCUGCGGCUG